RNAcentral lists this ribosomal RNA (510 nucleotides) under uncultured bacterium. RNAcentral's name for it is "bacterial SSU rRNA". It matches the Rfam family "Bacterial small subunit ribosomal RNA", at positions 20 to 518 of the family's 1533-position model. The record is from RNAcentral.
UGGCUCAGGAUGAACGCUAGCUACAGGCUUAACACAUGCAAGUCGAGGGGCAGCAUUGGGAUAGCUUGCUAUUUCAGAUGGCGACCGGCGCACGGGUGAGUAACGCGUAUCCAACCUUCCUGCCAGUAGGGAACAGCCCGGCGAAAGUCGGAUUAAUGCCCUAUGUUCUUCAAUGCGGACAUCUAAGUUGAAGGAAAGAUUCAUCGCUGGCAGAUGGGGAUGCGUCCGAUUAGCUUGCCGGCGGGGUAACGGCCCACCGGGGCGACGAUCGGUAGGGGUUCUGAGAGGAAGGUCCCCCACACUGGUACUGAGACACGGACCAGACUCCUACGGGAGGCAGCAGUGAGGAAUAUUGGUCAAUGGGCGUAAGCCUGAACCAGCCAAGUAGCGUGCAAGGAUGACGGCCCUACGGGUUGUAAACUGCUUUUAUGCGGGGAUAAAGUGCGGCACGUGUGCCGCUUUGCAGGUACCGCAUGAAUAAGGACCGGCUAAUUCCGUGCCAGCCGCGGC